This 506-nucleotide ribosomal RNA is filed under the name uncultured bacterium. RNAcentral describes it as "partial 16S ribosomal RNA". It matches the Rfam family "Bacterial small subunit ribosomal RNA", at positions 29 to 523 of the family's 1533-position model. The record is from RNAcentral.
AGUGAACGCUGGCGGUAGGCCUAACACAUGCAAGUCGAACGGCAGCACAGGAGAGCUUGCUCUCUGGGUGGCGAGUGGCGGACGGGUGAGGAAUACAUCGGAAUCUACUCUGUCGUGGGGGAUAACGUAGGGAAACUUACGCUAAUACCGCAUACGACCUACGGGUGAAAGCAGGGGACCUUCGGGCCUUGCGCGAUUGAAUGAGCCGAUGUCGGAUUAGCUAGUUGGCGGGGUAAAGGCCCACCAAGGCGACGAUCCGUAGCUGGUCUGAGAUGAUGGUCAGCCACACUGGAACUGUGACAGAGUCCAGACUCCUACGGGAGGCAGCAGUGGGGAAUAUUGGACAAUGGGCGCAAGCCUGAUCCAGCCAUACCGCGUGGGUGAAGAAGGCCUUCGGGUUGUAAAGCCCUUUUGUUGGGAAAGAAAUCCAGCUGGCUAAUACCCGGUUGGGAUGACGGUACCCAAAGAAUCAGCACCGGCUAACUUCGUGCCAGCCGCCGCGGUAA